GUGCUCGCUUCAGCAGCACAUAUACUAAAAAUGGAACGAUACACAGACGAUUAGCAUAGCCCCUGCACAAGGAUGACAUGGGGAAAAAAAAAGAAGAAAAAUCUUAA
This 107-nucleotide small nuclear RNA is filed under the name Physeter macrocephalus (sperm whale). Lineage: Eukaryota; Metazoa; Chordata; Mammalia; Artiodactyla; Physeteridae. The record is from RNAcentral.